GAUCCAAUUCCUACUCACCCUUCUGAUGGUCCUGAGCCAUCCCUCGAGGUCAAAGAGGUGCUGAGAGGAUAGGUCCUUGUCGUGCCGCGAUGUGAGAUACUCCAUACAAUCUGCCUAUAUAGUUUAAAAAUUUAAAUCCAUAAAAAUUAAUAUAUAUAAAAACUUAAUAAAUAAUAUUUUAAGUUGUUACUAUGAUCUGUCG
RNAcentral lists this long non-coding RNA (202 nucleotides) under Elaeis guineensis (African oil palm). Its description in RNAcentral is "long non-coding RNA (EGUI_LNC042901)". Lineage: Eukaryota; Viridiplantae; Streptophyta; Magnoliopsida; Arecales; Arecaceae. The record is from RNAcentral.